Long non-coding RNA from Mesocricetus auratus (golden hamster), 1336 nucleotides. RefSeq lists it as uncharacterized. The record is from RefSeq and is a predicted model, not a curated record. The transcript has 2 exons. NCBI's taxonomy places the organism in Eukaryota, Metazoa, Chordata, Mammalia, Rodentia, Cricetidae.
CAAGCCGUGGUCUCUGCACCAGUUCCUGUGUUGUUUGAAUUGUUUCCUGUCCUGACUUCCUUCAGUGAUGAACAGCAAUGUUGGAGUGUAAGCCAAAUAAACCCUUUCCUUCUCAACUUCUUUUUGGUCAUGGUGUUUCAUAGCCUAAAUAGAAACUGGAACUCAGGCAAAUUGGCACCAGCACAGUGGGGUAUUGCUGUGACAGAUCUGACCCUAUUUUGGGGAGAUUUGUGGAACGACCGUGGGCUAGAAGAGCCAUUGAGUGUUAAGAGCUCUGUGGGAUGUUCUGUGGAAACUUGGAAGAAUGUUUAGAGCAGUGCAGAAGAUGGAGGCCUGGAUCAUGAAGUUUAAGGACUGUAUUGGGGUCAUUUGUUAUUUUGAAUUAAGAUUCUGUGGUUCUGGUUAGCUGGGGCUGAAGAAUCAGCUGUCAUGAACAAGAUGCCAGAACUGCUCAAGUCAAACCUUUGCUUUUUGCUGAGGUACUUGAUGCUGGCCUGCUGAAGCUAAGAAAUUAACAUGUUGUUAAGAAGAGGUCAACAUCCCUGAUGUGAAAUCUUCUGUAAAGUACUUCCUAAGAGCACAGACAAGCACUGUUCCAGAAGCAGCCAAGGUUGUAUCAUGUGCUGGCAGCAGGACUUGGUAAUGUGUAAGAGUCACCCAGCUGGUGCUGGUUUUGAAGGCACGGAUGGGUCAUGGAGAGCAGCUGAAGCUUGGCAUUGUAAGGGGCAGGAGAGGCCAUUGGUGAUGGUGCAGCCUCAGUGGCAGUUGAAGGCCCAGAACUGAAGAAGUCAUGCAAAGAUGAGGCUUGGAACCAUGAAGAAAGCCUAUGAGAAGCUAUUGGUGAAAGUGUCGCUCAAUUCCAGCAAAAGACCCCAGCAUUCUGGAAAUGCUAGUACCACGGGAUGACCACCGUGAGCAGCAGUGGUGGAGUAGAGACAGCUGGAGCCUAGAAGACAAGCUGUGUGCUGCACAGGGCAGAGGCAGAGAAGGAACCCAAGCCUUUUGUAGGAGUCCAGAAGAUGCCUUAGAAAUACAGGAUUGCAGACCAUCUACAGAGCAUCUGAAGAGGUGCAGCUAGGAAGCAGUGUGUCAAGAAUGAGUCCUGUGGCCCAGGGAGACAUUGGUCCAAGCAGCACUUCUGGAACGGCGUUCUCGGAGAGAAAAUACACUCAUUGUGCAAGAGCUCAGGCCUGGGUCUCAUGGCCUGCCCCUGCAGGAACAAGAGCAAUAGGAAAUAAAUGGUUCGUUAAUUUGUCAAAAAUGGGGAGCUUUGGAAAGGUCAAAAUUACCAGCUGUAUCUACUAUAAUAAAAUAUUAAUCUUGGAUUUAAAACUUA